RNAcentral lists this ribosomal RNA (445 nucleotides) under uncultured bacterium. RNAcentral's name for it is "bacterial SSU rRNA". It matches the Rfam family "Bacterial small subunit ribosomal RNA", at positions 330 to 792 of the family's 1533-position model. The record is from RNAcentral.
CCCAGACUCCUACGGGAGGCAGCAGUGGGGAAUAUUGCACAAUGGGGGAAACCCUGAUGCAGCGACGCCGCGUGAGUGAAGAAGUAUUUCGGUAUGUAAAGCUCUCUCAGCAGGGAAGAUAAUGACGGUACCUGAGUAAGAAGCCCCGGCUAACUACGUGCCAGCAGCCGCGGUAAUACGUAGGGGGCAAGCGUUAUCCGGAUUUACUGGGUGUAAAGGGAGCGUAGACGGCAUGGCAAGUCUGAAGUGAAAGCCCGGGGCUCAACCGCGGGACUGCUUUGGAAACUGUUAAGCUGGAGUGCAGGAGAGGUAAGUGGAAUUCCUGGUGUAGCGGUGAAAUGCGUAGAUAUUAGGAGGAACACCAGUGGCGAAGGCGGCUUACUGGACUGUAACUGACGUUGAGGCUCGAAAGCGUGGGGAGCAAACAGGAUUAGAUACCCUCGUA